Long non-coding RNA from Erpetoichthys calabaricus (reedfish), 222 nucleotides. RefSeq lists it as uncharacterized. The transcript is spliced from 2 exons. Lineage: Eukaryota; Metazoa; Chordata; Cladistia; Polypteriformes; Polypteridae. The record is from RefSeq and is a predicted model, not a curated record.
AUAUAUAAAAGUGCAUAAUAUGCCGAAGCUUUUAGAGAUCCUGAGACCUCAUCCUCUGAGACGAUCACCAUGUUCGCUGUGAAAGCAGUUUGCCUCAUCGCCACCGUCACUAUGCUUGUUGCAAUGGUGGCAGCGAUGAAGAGAUGUCAAGCAUCCACUGAAGGCUUUAAUCACUAAAAACCCUGUGUAGUCAAAUUUUAAUAAAGUAGUCAUGCAUACCUA